CGAGGCACUACGGUGCUGAAGCAACAAAUGCCCUGCUUCCAGGAAAAGCCUCUAAGCCUCAGGUAACAUCAAAUCGUACCCCAAACCGACACAGGUGGUCAGGUAGAGAAUACCAAGGCGCUUGAGAGAACUCGGGUGAAGGAACUAGGCAAAAUGGUGCCGUAACUUCGGGAGAAGGCACGCUGACACGUAGGUGAAGUGGUUUACCCAUGGAGCUGAAGUCAGUCGAAGAUACCAGCUGGCUGCAACUGUUUAUUAAAAACACAGCACUGUGCAAACACGAAAGUGGACGUAUACGGUGUGACGCCUGCCCGGUGCCGGAAGGUUAAUUGAUGGGGUCAGCGCAAGCGAAGCUCCUGAUCGAAGCCCCGGUAAACGGCGGCCGUAACUAUAACGGUCCUAAGGUAGCGAAAUUCCUUGUCGGGUAAGUUCCGACCUGCACGAAUGGCGUAAUGAUGGCCAGGCUGUCUCCACCCGGGACUCAGUGAAAUUGAACUCGCUGUGAAGAUGCAGUGUACCCGCGGCAAGACGGAAAGACCCCGUGAACCUUUACUAUAGCUUGACACUGAACACUGGUCCUUGAUGUGCAGGAUAGGUGGGAGGCUUUGAAGUGUGGACGCCAGUCUGCAUGGAGCCAUCCUUGAAAUACCACCCUUUAAUGGCUGGUGUUCUAACGUGGGCCCGUGAACCGGGUUGCGGACAGUGUCUGGUGGGUAGUUUGACUGGGGCGGUCUCCUCCUAAAGAGUAACGGAGGAGCACGAAGGUUGGCUAAUCCUGGUCGGACAUCAGGAGGUUAGUGCAAUGGCAUAAGCCAGCUUGACUGCGAGCGUGACGGCGCGAGCAGGUGCGAAAGCAGGUCAUAGUGAUCCGGUGGUUCUGAAUGGAAGGGCCAUCGCUCAACGGAUAAAAGGUACUCCGGGGAUAACAGGCUGAUACCGCCCAAGAGUUCAUAUCGACGGCGGUGUUUGGCACCUCGAUGUCGGCUCAUCACAUCCUGGGGCUGAAGUAGGUCCCAAGGGUAUGGCUGUUCGCCAUUUAAAGUGGUACGCGAGCUGGGUUUAGAACGUCGUGAGACAGUUCGGUCCCUAUCUGCCGUGGGCGCUGGAAGAUUGAGGGGGGCUGCUCCUAGUACGAGAGGACCGGAGUGGACGCAUCACUGGUGUUCGGGUUGUCAUGCCAAUGGCACUGCCCGGUAGCUACAUGCGGAAGAGAUAAGUGCUGAAAGCAUCUAAGCACGAAACUUGCCCCGAGAUGAAUCUUCCCUGAGCCUUUAAGGCUCCUGAAGGAACGUUGAAGACGACGACGUUGAUAGGCCGGGUGUGUAAGCGCAGCGAUGCGUUGAGCUAACCGGUACUAAUGAACCGUGAGGCUUAACCUUACAACGCCGAAG
RNAcentral lists this ribosomal RNA (1391 nucleotides) under Salmonella enterica. RNAcentral's name for it is "partial 23S ribosomal RNA". It matches the Rfam family "Bacterial large subunit ribosomal RNA", at positions 1570 to 2925 of the family's 2925-position model. Lineage: Bacteria; Pseudomonadati; Pseudomonadota; Gammaproteobacteria; Enterobacterales; Enterobacteriaceae. The record is from RNAcentral.